CAAUCACAAUAAACAGAGCAAAGCCAUAAAGAAGACCUUUGAUUGGAGGGAAGACAAAGGAUGUCAAAUGAGGCUGCAAUGUCCCUAAAGAUAUCUGAGGCGUAACCAGAUCCAUUCACUUGUACUGCAACCACUACAGGAGCUGGAGGAAGUACAUACUGGAGAUACAUGAAGAGAAGCAGGAAGAAACCCAAGUAUGCCAGUAGGAGCUAAAGCUCCUGGAGGAGGCCCAGCUCCUCUGACACCUCCUCCAUGAUCUCCUGAGCAGCAUCCUGCAUGGACUGACUGUUGUUUAGAAGCAGG
This 303-nucleotide long non-coding RNA is filed under the name Sinocyclocheilus anshuiensis. Its description in RNAcentral is "lncRNA (ENSSANG00000013620.1)". Lineage: Eukaryota; Metazoa; Chordata; Actinopteri; Cypriniformes; Cyprinidae. The record is from RNAcentral.